CACAUACCAACUCACAAACACAUCAACUUGAGAUGGUCCAGCGCAGAGCAGCAAGGUACACUUGCAACAGAUACCAUAACACAAGCUCAGUCACUGAAAUGCUGCAAACAUUAAAUUGGGCAACACUUGAGAAAAGGCGAAUUAGAACCCGCAUCAUUUUCUUCUACAAAAUUAUACAUCAUCUUGUAGCCAUAUACCCGACAGACCUACUUACACAAUCCGAUACAAGAACACGUCAACAUUCACAUAUUUAUUCUUUCAGACCAAUACAAACCACUAAAGACUCAUACAAGUACUCAUUCUACCCCAGAACAAUCUUACAAUGGAACCUUCUCCCAGUAGCUGCAGUUCAAUGUACUAUACUCUUGAAAGCUUCCGAGAACAAAUUCCAAUAUCUGUUCUCAAUAAACAUCUAAAAAUUUAAAUAAAUCCUACAAUGUAUAUAGUUUUAACCAAAAUGUAUAGUACAAAAACAAAAGAAAAAGAAAUUACGUUGAAUUUUUAUUUUUAUUUUUUUGUAUAUUAUUCACUGUAAAUAAAAAUUAGAUCCCAC
RNAcentral lists this long non-coding RNA (553 nucleotides) under Mytilus galloprovincialis (Mediterranean mussel). The record is from RNAcentral. Lineage: Eukaryota; Metazoa; Mollusca; Bivalvia; Mytilida; Mytilidae.